UAGGGAAUCUUCGGCAAUGGACGAAAGUCUGACCGAGCAACGCCGCGUGAGUGAAGAAGGUUUUCGGAUCGUAAAACUCUGUUGUUAGAGAAGAACAAGGACGUUAGUAACUGAACGUCCCCUGACGGUAUCUAACCAGAAAGCCACGGCUAACUACGUGCCAGCAGCCGCGGUAAUACGUAGGUGGCAAGCGUUGUCCGGAUUUAUUGGGCGUAAAGCGAGCGCAGGCGGUUUCUUAAGUCAGAUGUGAAAGCCCCCGGCUCAACCGGGGAGGGUCAUUGGAAACUGGGAGACUUAAGUGCAGAAGAGGAGAGUGGAAUUCCAUGUGUAGCGGUGAAAUGCGUAGAUAUAUGGAGGAACACCAGUGGCGAAGGCGGCUCUCUGGUCUGUAACUGACGCUGAGGCUCGAAAGCGUGGGGAGCAAACAGG
This 429-nucleotide ribosomal RNA is filed under the name Gemmatimonadota bacterium. Its description in RNAcentral is "Gemmatimonadetes bacterium partial 16S ribosomal RNA". It matches the Rfam family "Bacterial small subunit ribosomal RNA", at positions 355 to 776 of the family's 1533-position model. Lineage: Bacteria; Pseudomonadati; Gemmatimonadota. The record is from RNAcentral.